CAGACUUGCCCAAUCCGGAGCCAGGAUCGCGAGUAGGAGGGCGGGUCCUCGCGGAGAGGGGCGGGGUCCGGAGUGACAAGACUCUCGCCUGGUCCGGUUCUUUGGUCUCUGGUGCUAGCACCGGUGACAAUUGGAGGUCCCACCGAGAUCCUGGAAAGCAGAGGCAUCCUGAUGGACUGCUCUUAACAAUUGUGGCCACAAGACAAGAAGGAGCACAUUUGGGUUGACAGUGCCGAAUCAAAACCUCAAGAUCUGGCAUAAAGGCAUGUGUCAUCCCACCUCAAGAUCUGGAUCAAAAGCCUGUGUCAUCAAGCCUCAAGAUCCAGAUCAAAAGCAUGUUGUCUUCCAGCUUCAAGAUCUGG
RNAcentral lists this long non-coding RNA (362 nucleotides) under Cricetulus griseus (Chinese hamster). Its description in RNAcentral is "lncRNA (ENSCGRG00015041824.1)". Lineage: Eukaryota; Metazoa; Chordata; Mammalia; Rodentia; Cricetidae. The record is from RNAcentral.